This 468-nucleotide ribosomal RNA is filed under the name uncultured bacterium. RNAcentral describes it as "partial 16S ribosomal RNA". It matches the Rfam family "Bacterial small subunit ribosomal RNA", at positions 28 to 507 of the family's 1533-position model. The record is from RNAcentral.
GACGAACGCUGGCGGCGUGCUUAACACAUGCAAGUCGAACGGAAAGGCCCUGCUUUUGUGGGGUGCUCGAGUGGCGAACGGGUGAGUAACACGUGAGUAACCUGCCCUUGACUUUGGGAUAACUUCAGGAAACUGGGGCUAAUACCGGAUAGGAGCUCCUGCUGCAUGGUGGGGGUUGGAAAGUUUCGGCGGUUGGGGAUGGACUCGCGGCUUAUCAGCUUGUGGGUGGGGUAGUGGCUUACCAAGGCUUUGACGGGUAGCCGGCCUGAGAGGGUGACCGGCCCCAUUGGGACUGCGAUACGGCCCAGACUCCUACGGGAGGCAGCAGUGGGGAAUAUUGCGCAAUGGGCGGAAGCCUGAUGCAGCAACGCCGCGUGCGGGAUGACGGCCUUCGGGUUGUAAACCGCUUUCGCCUGUGACGAAGCGUGAGUGACGGUAAUGGGUAAAGAAGCACCGGCUAACUACGUG